CAUUAGAUGACUGAAAGUAAGUACUGGUCUCUUAAACCAUUUAAUAGUGUUUAACGAACACUUCUAAUG
RNAcentral lists this transfer RNA (69 nucleotides) under Tenebrio obscurus (dark mealworm). RNAcentral describes it as "tRNA-Lys". The record is from RNAcentral. Lineage: Eukaryota; Metazoa; Arthropoda; Insecta; Coleoptera; Tenebrionidae.